GUCGAGAAUCUUCCGCAAUGCGCGAAAGCGUGACGGAGCGACACCGCGUGAUGGAUGAAGUCCUUCGGGGCGUAAACAUCUUUUAUAAAGGAGGAAAUUUUUGACGUUACUUUAUGAAUAAGGGGCUCCCAAUCUCGUGCCAGCAGGAGCGGUAAUACGAGAGCCUCAAGCGUUAUCCGGAAUCAUUGGGCGUAAAGGGUGCGUAGGUGGUUUGAUUAGUCUCCCGUUAAAACUUCGAGCUUAACUCGAAAAGAGCGGGGGAAACGAUCAAACUAGAGUAUGUGAGAGGUGUGUGGAACUCAUGGUGUAGGGGUGAAAUCCGUUGAUAUCAUGGGGAACACCAAAAGCGAAGGCAGCACACUGGCACAUCACUGACACUGAGGCACGAAACCUAAGGUAGCGAAUGGGAUUAGAAACCCGGGUAGUCC
Molecule: ribosomal RNA, 428 nt
Filed under: uncultured bacterium
Lineage: Bacteria
Description: bacterial SSU rRNA
Rfam family: Bacterial small subunit ribosomal RNA
Source: RNAcentral